Non-coding RNA from Podarcis lilfordi (Lilford's wall lizard), 74 nucleotides. The record is from the annotation of a GenBank genome assembly. NCBI's taxonomy places the organism in Eukaryota, Metazoa, Chordata, Lepidosauria, Squamata, Lacertidae.
AUCUCUGUGGCGCAAUGAGUCAGUACAUCUCACUGCUAACCAGAAGGUUGGUGGUUCAAGCCCACCCAGGGAUG